This is a small nuclear RNA of Rhopilema esculentum, 122 nucleotides long. RefSeq annotates it as U4atac minor spliceosomal RNA. NCBI's taxonomy places the organism in Eukaryota, Metazoa, Cnidaria, Scyphozoa, Rhizostomeae, Rhizostomatidae. The record is from RefSeq and is a predicted model, not a curated record.
AACGUCCUUAUCGGGGUUUGAGGUCAGUCCAAUGAGCGCCAUAGCGAGGGCUGUCUUGCUAACACCCUGCAUAUAACAUAUUCCGUCACUGGUUCUCCGCAAUCAGUGCAAUUUUUGGAGCC